GAUGAACGCUGGCGGCGUGCCUAAUACAUGCAAGUCGAGCGAACAGACGAGGAGCUUGCUCCUCUGACGUUAGCGGCGGACGGGUGAGUAACACGUGGAUAACCUACCUAUAAGACUGGGAUAACUUCGGGAAACCGGAGCUAAUACCGGAUAAUAUAUUGAACCGCAUGGUUCAAUAGUGAAAGACGGUUUUGCUGUCACUUAUAGAUGGAUCCGCGCCGCAUUAGCUAGUUGGUAAGGUAACGGCUUACCAAGGCAACGAUGCGUAGCCGACCUGAGAGGGUGAUCGGCCACAAUGGAACUGAGACACGGUCCAGACUCCUAAGGGAGGCAGCAGUAGGGAAUCUUCCGCAAUGGGCGAAAGCCUGACGGAGCAACGCCGCGUGAGUGAUGAAGGUCUUCGGAUCGUAAAACUCUGUUAUUAGGGAAGAACAAAUGUGUAAGUAACUAUGCACGUCUUGACGGUACCUAAUCAGAAAGCCACGGCUAACUACGUG
Molecule: ribosomal RNA, 497 nt
Filed under: uncultured bacterium
Lineage: Bacteria
Description: partial 16S ribosomal RNA
Rfam family: Bacterial small subunit ribosomal RNA
Source: RNAcentral